GCCUGGCUGGCUUAGUCAGUAGAGCAUGCAACUCUUAAUCUCAGGGUCAUGAGUUCAAGCCCCAUGUUGGGCA
This 73-nucleotide transfer RNA is filed under the name Felis catus (domestic cat). It matches the Rfam family "tRNA". From Rfam's summary of the family: Transfer RNA (tRNA) molecules are approximately 80 nucleotides in length. Their secondary structure includes four short double-helical elements and three loops (D, anti-codon, and T loops). The record is from Rfam by way of RNAcentral. RNAcentral also lists the same sequence under 6 other names. Lineage: Eukaryota; Metazoa; Chordata; Mammalia; Carnivora; Felidae.